RNAcentral lists this ribosomal RNA (444 nucleotides) under uncultured eukaryote. RNAcentral describes it as "bacterial SSU rRNA". It matches the Rfam family "Eukaryotic small subunit ribosomal RNA", at positions 617 to 1018 of the family's 1831-position model. The record is from RNAcentral.
CAAAUAGCGUAAUAAUUUAAAAGUUUGUUGACAAGUUAAAAAGCUCGUAGUUUGGAUUUCGGAGUGGGGCCAGUUGGUCCGCCGCAAGGUGUGUUACUGACUGGUUUGCUCUUCUUCGCAAAAGACUGCGUGUGCCCUUAAAAUGAGUGUGCGUAGGAUUUACGACGUUUUACUUUUGAAAAAAUUAGAGUGUUCAAAAGCAGGCUAUUGCUUGAAUACAUGAGCAUGGAAUAAAUGGAAAUAGGACUUUGGUCCCAUUUUUGUUUGGUUUUCUAGGGCCGAAGUAAUGAUUAAAGAGGGACAAUUGGGGGGCAUCCGUAUUUCGUUGUCAGAGGUGAAAUUCUUGGAUUUACGAAAGACGAACAAACUGCGAAAGCACUUGCCAAGAGUGUUUUCAUUAAUCAAGAACGAAAAGUUAGAGGAUCGAAGACGAUUAGAUACCAU